AGCUGGAUUGGUGCUCAGUAGAAGCCAUUACCUAGUCAUAGUGGUGGAGCAAAAGUCCUCCGAGAUGAGCUAUUGCUGCUGUUUGAUGGAACCUGGUGGAAGUGGAUGGUUUGGAGAAGACCAAGAAAGUUGGUCUUCAGAUGUAUUUGAAAGUUGUGAUAAUUAUGGAAUUAGUUUUUUUACCCUUCUGAAACAAGUACCCAUGGCUUUGCAGUCCUUCAUUAAAAAUAAAAAGGACAAUUAAGGUUGAAGUGCCACAUUCAUGAAAUCAAUGAUUUGGACAACUUUGGCCAAGUGUGGACAACUAUCACUAUUUUGUCAUGCUUUGCGUUUAGCAGAUGAAGAGCUGUUUGAUAGGACUGACAUGUCUUCAUAUACUGGAAACACCCUGGAGAAGCUGCUCAAUCGUUGGUUGUGACACUAAACCAUAACUUACCUGUGAUGAGCCAGGGCCUCAGCAUGCCUCCACUGAGACAGGAGACCUUGAGGAACACCAAAAAUGGUCAUAAUUUCUUGGUAGCUAUGAUAGAGCCAUAGCCAGAUGGUCUCUAAGCCCAUGGUAAACAUGCCCAAGGAAAAUAGAGGUACCCACCUUCAAGACACUUUUGAAAAUCUAGAUGUCUAAAUCAAAAGGGAAAGGUAUCCAGAAAAAAUUACCAAACAUAGAAAAAUUUGACCAAUGGAACUAAUAUUCUCUGCAGGGCAAAAAAUCACUACCUAAACAUCUAUAUCUAUUUACAUCUCAGGA
This 748-nucleotide long non-coding RNA is filed under the name Cricetulus griseus (Chinese hamster). RNAcentral describes it as "lncRNA (ENSCGRG00015041491.1)". The record is from RNAcentral. Lineage: Eukaryota; Metazoa; Chordata; Mammalia; Rodentia; Cricetidae.